Molecule: long non-coding RNA, 1201 nt
Filed under: Bos indicus x Bos taurus (hybrid cattle)
Lineage: Eukaryota; Metazoa; Chordata; Mammalia; Artiodactyla; Bovidae
Description: lncRNA (ENSBIXG00005025957.1)
Source: RNAcentral
AUUCGAAGCAGAUCUGCCCACCUCCAAAGACUGUGGGAAUCCCUCCCUGCCCUGCUGAUUCCAAAGAAAAUGCCCAUUAAUCGUCAUCUCACUUUCCAAAGACCAGGACAGAAGGUACUGGCUGAACAAUUAACUUAUGUUUAUCAGAUGAUUCAGUGGCAUAUUUUUAGAUUAUGAUGAGUCCCAUGGUGCUCAAUUCCUACCAGGCAUUCUACUAGAAUGUUUAUAUGUGGCUCAUCCAUUCAUCGAGAACCUACUGUGCACUAUUCUAAAUGUUGAGGAUUCAGCAGUGAACACAUCAAGUAAGAAUUCCUGUCUUUUUGGAGCUUAACUUCAGCUGAGGGAAAGGGGAACAGCAACAAGUAAAUAGUUACACAGGGUGUCAGAUGAUAACUGCUGUGGUAACAGGUAGCUGGGAAUGGGGCAUGGGAAGCGAUGGGUGGCAGAGGUCACAAUUUUAAAUGGAAUAGUCAGGAUGGACUCACUGAGUGGAUUAUGCUUGAGCAGGUUUAAACCAUGGAGGAGGAGGAUUCCAAGCAGGGAACAGCUUGAGCUAAGGCCCUGAGGCAGGACUACACCUGUCCUGUUCCAAAAGGAAGCCAGUGAGCAAUGAAUGAGGAGGUGAGUAGGAGAUGAGGGCCAAGAGGUAAGAGGGGGUGGUAUCAUGUAUGACCAGUGUACAGACGGGUUUUUUUGCCCUCUGGGAAAUGGGGAACUGCUGUUUAUUUUUAAAUUAUAAUUAUGGGGAAUGCAAACAUUUCCAGGGAGAGAGUAAUAUACUGAUCUCUCAUGUACUGAGCACCCUCUUUCAACAACUAUCAACUCAUGAAGUCAUGGCCAGUCCUGCGUCAUCCCUGCCCCUCUCACUCUGGUUUCACCCAAGGACAUGCCCAGGGACCACAGGUGGGCGGAAGAAAGCAUGACUCCAGGGCUUGAUGUUGAUCAGAGGGACCUGUCACUUCAUUUCAUCCUUUUAAACUUUACAGCAUUGGGCUUCUCAACAGAAAUGCUGGCAUCUCAAAUUCUGAGGGAAGUCAUUUCCAGCCUGAAUUUUACACCCAGGCAAUUUUACACCCAGGGAGAUACAGUCAAGCGCUUCAUUCCCGGAAGUGGUCCGGAGGAGAAGAGGUUCUCUAGAAAACCGUGUUGUGUGACGUCGGAUUGUUGCUCACAGCACAGUGGGGCUGCCGGGAAGAGGUGA